AUUGAACGCUGGCGGCAUGCCUUACACAUGCAAGUCGAACGGCAGCAUGAUCUAGCUUGCUAGAUUGAUGGCGAGUGGCGAACGGGUGAGUAAUACAUCGGAACGUGCCCUGUAGUGGGGGAUAACUAGUCGAAAGAUUAGCUAAUACCGCAUACGACCUGAGGGUGAAAGUGGGGGACCGCAAGGCCUCAUGCUAUAGGAGCGGCCGAUGUCUGAUUAGCUAGUUGGUGAGGUAAAGGCUCACCAAGGCGACGAUCAGUAGCUGGUCUGAGAGGACGAUCCGGCACACUGGGACUGAGAACACGCCCCGACUCCCUCGGGAGGCAGGAGUGGGGAAAUUUUGACAAUGGGCCGAAGCCUGAACCAAGAAUGCCGGCGGGUGGAAAAAGGCCCUCGGGUUUGAAAGCAACUUUGUCCGGAAAGAAAAGGGUCUGGUUAAUACCUGGGGUCGAUGACGGUACCGGAAGAAUAAGGACCGGCUAACUACGUG
This 490-nucleotide ribosomal RNA is filed under the name uncultured bacterium. RNAcentral describes it as "partial 16S ribosomal RNA". It matches the Rfam family "Bacterial small subunit ribosomal RNA", at positions 30 to 507 of the family's 1533-position model. The record is from RNAcentral.